UGUGUGUUAGCUUAAUAGGCAGAGCUAUGUGCUACGGACACAUGGAUACAGGUUCGAUUCUUGUACACGCUU
Pseudogymnoascus pannorum is the source of this 72-nucleotide transfer RNA. It matches the Rfam family "tRNA". Rfam says of the family: Transfer RNA (tRNA) molecules are approximately 80 nucleotides in length. Lineage: Eukaryota; Fungi; Ascomycota; Leotiomycetes; Thelebolales; Thelebolaceae. The record is from Rfam.